Molecule: ribosomal RNA, 592 nt
Filed under: uncultured fungus
Lineage: Eukaryota; Fungi
Description: eukaryotic LSU rRNA
Rfam family: 5.8S ribosomal RNA (bases 226-379)
Source: RNAcentral
UUUAGAGGAAGUAAAAGUCGUAACAAGGUCUCCGUAGGUGAACCUGCGGAGGGAUCAUUACACAAAUAUGAAGGCGGGCUGGAACCUCUCGGGGUUACAGCCUUGCUGAAUUAUUCACCCUUGUCUUUUGCGUACUUCUUGUUUCCUUGGUGGGUUCGCCCACCACUAGGACAAACAUAAACCUUUUGUAAUUGCAAUCAGCGUCAGUAACAAAUUAAUAAUUACAACUUUCAACAACGGAUCUCUUGGUUCUGGCAUCGAUGAAGAACGCAGCGAAAUGCGAUAAGUAGUGUGAAUUGCAGAAUUCAGUGAAUCAUCGAAUCUUUGAACGCACAUUGCGCCCUUUGGUAUUCCAAAGGGCAUGCCUGUUCGAGCGUCAUUUGUACCCUCAAGCUUUGCUUGGUGUUGGGCGUCUUGUCUCUAGCUUUGCUGGAGACUCGCCUUAAAGUAAUUGGCAGCCGGCCUACUGGUUUCGGAGCGCAGCACAAGUCGCACUCUCUAUCAGCAAAGGUCUAGCAUCCAUUAAGCCUUUUUUCAACUUUUGACCUCGGAUCAGGUAGGGAUACCCGCUGAACUUAAGCAUAUCAAUAAG